This 254-nucleotide ribosomal RNA is filed under the name uncultured bacterium. Its description in RNAcentral is "partial 16S ribosomal RNA". It matches the Rfam family "Bacterial small subunit ribosomal RNA", at positions 524 to 776 of the family's 1533-position model. The record is from RNAcentral.
UACGAAGGGGGCUAGCGUUGCUCGGAAUCACUGGGCGUAAAGGGUGCGUAGGCGGGUCUUUUAAGUCAGGGGUGAAAUCCUGGAGCUCAACUCCAGAACUGCCUUUGAUACUGAAGAUCUUGAGUUCGGGAGAGGUGAGUGGAACUGCGAGUGUAGAGGUGAAAUUCGUAGAUAUUCGGAAGAACACCAGUGGCGAAGGCGACACACUGGCUCACUACUGACGCUGAGGCGCGAAAGCGUGGGGAGCAAACAGG